Lynx canadensis (Canada lynx) is the source of this 1517-nucleotide long non-coding RNA. RefSeq lists it as uncharacterized. The transcript has 2 exons. Lineage: Eukaryota; Metazoa; Chordata; Mammalia; Carnivora; Felidae. The record is from RefSeq and is a predicted model, not a curated record.
UCGGUGCCGGCGGCGGGUCGGGGCGCGGAGGCGGCGCGCAGGUGGCGCGGGGGACGCCGAGGCCGAACGUGAUACGGCCGGAAGGCCGGCGAGGAGGCCCACCAGGACGGGCGCAGGAAGAGGGAGGUUGGGCCGCUGCAGCUGAGGGUCCAAAAGCGGGGGACUCGGGGUCCCGGGGGAGGCCGACUCGGGGGGCCGCGCACCUGCCUCCCCGCCGGCUGCCGAUUCCUGCUGGCUGUCUGCGAGCCAUCCCGGGCCCCCGGGCGCUGCCCUGUGCGGCGGUGACCACCUGCCACCGAGGCGACGGGAACUCCCGUAACUUUUUUAUAUUCAGAUGUUGCGUUGGUAUUUUGUAUACGUUGGGCUAAAUUAAAAUGUUUGACUAGCUUCUAGAAAUUUUAAAAUAUCGGUUGUGCCUCCCACCCUAUUUUUGCUGGACGGCGCUGCCCUAGCCUGAUCCGCCGUCCCUUUCCGUCACUGCUCAAAGCCUCUGCCAGCACGUCUGCCUUUCCCUGGCAGCCCGCCCCACCCCCACCCCUGGAACAGACCGUUUGUCUCCAGGAAACCUUCCUCUUCAUUUGUAUUCGCUUCCUCUGUUGCGAAACGCCACCACCAGUAGCUUUGAGACUUCUCAUCAAUUUAAUAACAUGGCAGGAAGAAGAGAAACACGCCCACGUUAAAUGUACACGUUGGCUGUAAUAACAUCCUCAUUUCAGAAAUGAUUUCGGAAGCGCUCGUGAGACCAGGGUUUAGGUGCCUAAAGAGCGGGGUUUGAGUUUCUUCUGCUGGGGACAGUGAAGAGAUCUAGACACCACGACGAUGAGUUUGUGCCAGCACGGAGGCAGCUUCGCCCCAGAGCAUACAGUCCCGACAAAGAUGAGAACGUUGGGAUCAAGGGGAGAGUGAAGCAGACAAGGGUGCAACGGCCGCGAAUGAGCCUCACUCUGGCCGAGUCUGCCUCCAUGGCUGCAGCUGAGGGCGGCCGAAACGCACCUCGAGGCGGGUGACUGGCCUCUGGCCUGACCCAGGCCCGGUAUUCCGAUACCUCAGCCACACCAACGUGCCUUCGCCUCAGGAUGCCUUUGCUCAGCUUGAAUUGGCCUCACGUACCAACCCGUGCAGGAGCAGCAGAGCGGGGGUCUCAGCUGGAAGGAGGCCUGGUUUGGGGGAGGCCCGAGACCCCCUGUUUCUGUGGGGUUGGUCCCGGAACGCAGGCUGGUUGACUGAAGGCCUCUGCAGGCCUCAGCUUUGAGGGGAGGGCCGGCUCGGUCUCAUUCUUCCUAAGACCCUCUCACAUACCUUCCAAAAUCAGCUCCAGAGAGAGGCAGUGGGGCGUGUUCACCUUGUGCCCCAGGCCAUGGGCCGGAAUGUGCCCUGGGAGGUUGGUGCCCCACCUGCCCCUGUGGUUGUGUCUCUGGGGACCCACACAACUACAGGACAUCCUCCAGGCGUCGCGUUCCCCGGAGAAGUUGCCCAUUAAAUAGCAGAUGUUUUGAUAAAUACCGUUCUCAAAAGCA